GGGGGCGUACCGGCUUCGACGGGGAUGUCGAUGUACGGACAGCGCGUCGUGGCGCCCAUGGCCACGUAAAAAUGGGCAAUCCUGCAACUGCGAACGAUAACAACGCUGUUGCUCUCGCUGCCUGAUUAAACCCAGGUAACGACGGUGUUCGAGGCUUCCGUCUGUAGCCACGAAACACCGACACAAUCAGACUGGAUCCCCGAAUUGUCAGUGCAGGGAGAUCGAGAAAAAGCUGACUUGUCAUGCACGCAGACCGGCCACCGUCGGCGAGCAUGAGACCCCAAAUGGUGUGCCUACACGCGUAGACGGCCGUUCGGAUGCAUUCUCGGACGCGGGUUCGACUCCCGCCGCCUCCACUA
Molecule: transfer-messenger RNA, 359 nt
Filed under: Deltaproteobacteria bacterium
Lineage: Bacteria; Pseudomonadati; Myxococcota; Myxococcia
Rfam family: transfer-messenger RNA
About the family: Bacterial tmRNA, also known as 10Sa RNA or SsrA, is named for its dual tRNA and mRNA-like properties. Its role is to liberate the mRNA from a stalled ribosome. To accomplish this part of the tmRNA is used as a reading frame that ends in a translation stop signal.
Source: RNAcentral